GACGAACGCUGGCGGCGUGCUUAACACAUGCAAGUCGAACGGAAAGGCCCUGCUUUUGUGGGGUGCUCGAGUGGCGAACGGGUGAGUAACACGUGAGUAACCUGCCCCUGACUUUGGGAUAACUUCAGGAAACUGGGGCUAAUACCGGAUAGGAGCUCCUGCUGCAUGGUGGGGGUUGGAAAGUUUCGGCGGUUGGGGAUGGACUCGCGGCUUAUCAGCUUGUUGGUGGGGUAGUGGCUUACCAAGGCUUCGACGGGUAGCCGGCCUGAGAGGGUGACCGGCCACAUGGGGACUGAGAUACGGCCCAGACUCCUACGGGAGGCAGCAGUGGGAAAUAUUGCGCAAUGGGCGGGAGCCUGAUGCAGAAACGCCGCGUGCGGGAUGACGGCCUUCGGGUUGUAAACCGCUUUCGCCUGUGACGAAGCGUGAGUGACGGUAAUGGGUAAAGAAGCACCGGCUAACUACGUG
This 468-nucleotide ribosomal RNA is filed under the name uncultured bacterium. RNAcentral describes it as "partial 16S ribosomal RNA". It matches the Rfam family "Bacterial small subunit ribosomal RNA", at positions 28 to 507 of the family's 1533-position model. The record is from RNAcentral.